UAGACAGAUGCACGCUGGUUUGUGCGCUUAGCUGUUAAUUAAGUUUUUGAAGGAUCGAGGCCUUCCUGUCUAG
RNAcentral lists this transfer RNA (73 nucleotides) under Xenodexia ctenolepis. Its description in RNAcentral is "tRNA-Asn". Lineage: Eukaryota; Metazoa; Chordata; Actinopteri; Cyprinodontiformes; Poeciliidae. The record is from RNAcentral.